UUUCUNANUGGGGGAACCCUGAAGGAGCGACGCCGCGUGGAGGAUGAAGGUCUUCGGAUUGUAAACUCCUGUCAUUAGGGAACAAGUGCCGGUAAUUUACUACUACCGGCUUGAUAGUACCUGAAGAGGAAGAGACGGCUAACUCUGUGCCAGCAGCCGCGGUAAUACAGAGGUCUCAAGCGUUGUUCGGAUUCAUUGGGCGUAAAGGGUGCGUAGGUGGCGCCGUAAGUCAGGUGUGAAAUCUCGGGGCUCAACCCCGAAACUGCACUUGAUACUGCGGUGCUCGAGUACUGGAGAGGAGAUUGGAAUUUACGGUGUAGCAGUGAAAUGCGUAGAUAUCGUAAGGAAGACCAGUGGCGAAGGCGAAUCUCUGGACAGUUACUGACACUGAGGCACGAAGGCCAGGGGAGCAAACGGGAUUAGAUACCCCGGUAGUCCUGGCAGUAAACGGUGCGCGUUUGGUGUGGGAGGAUUCGACCCCUUCUGUGCCGGAGCUAACGCGUUAAACGCGCCGCCUGGGGAGUACGGUCGCAAGAUUAAAACUCAAAAAAAUUGACGGA
This 560-nucleotide ribosomal RNA is filed under the name uncultured bacterium. RNAcentral describes it as "bacterial SSU rRNA". It matches the Rfam family "Bacterial small subunit ribosomal RNA", at positions 364 to 917 of the family's 1533-position model. The record is from RNAcentral.